Molecule: long non-coding RNA, 1515 nt
Organism: Cebus imitator (Panamanian white-faced capuchin)
Lineage: Eukaryota; Metazoa; Chordata; Mammalia; Primates; Cebidae
Exons: 3
Source: RefSeq, a predicted model, not a curated record
GCCCGGGUGCUCCCCGGGGAGCGGAGGCGGGAGAGCGGGGGCCGCAGGGCCGGGGCCCCAGCCUGCCCUUCCGGCAGCGCCGCGGGACUGCCCAAGGACCAAGUGCGUGCCGGGCCUCGCCCGACCUUGAUGCUGGCGUUGGUCCGGGUUGACUGCCCACUCCGAUGCCUUGCAAAGGGAUUUAUGGAAUAAUCGGGAAUCUUUGCCUACCGUGAGCUUUUCCCUUUAGGAAGGUUCUUCUCAUUGGUGGUGUGACAGAGGGCACUGAAGCUGUAUUCCUGCAGUGAUCUUAGCAUAAAGACCCUCCAUCUAACAGGGAAAGGGCGGGUGAGACAACACUAGGCUUAUGCCUCAUCCUCAGCAGGUGACCAAAGGAGGAAGAUAAAACAGAACUUCCACAUGCUCUCUGGUGAGCUGGAACCCCUGCUACUGGUUGCUCUGAGAAGCCAUGGGUUUUCUUCCUUGGACAAUUUCAGAGCCCAUCAUUAUGGUUUACGGAAAGGAAGUGGUGCUGAAAGAGACCCCUGCUUCUCCUGCCAGCUCUUCUCCCUUGAGAAAGCCCCUCCACUUCUCCUGAGCUUGGUUUCAGAAGUGAUGGUUCAUCCUCUCCCGUUGGGAGUCCUUCCGGGAUGGGCUCCAUGUAUUCCUCCAGCGGCAGGGGGAUGGUUGAGAUGACCUUUUCAGGUCACUCAGGAAAUCUUCCAGUUUCUCAGGAUGAUCUAAGCAUCUCCCUUUCCUUUAGAAGCUGUCAGAGCUAACUCCGCGUGGGCGUGGGCUCCUGGCAGCUACCUCACCUCCCCUCCAAUAUUUAAAAGAUCUAUGCUGGUUCUUAGGGCUUCCUAAUCACAGGCCCUUUUAUUCUGGGCUCUGCCUGAAAGGCCACAUCCAUUUUUUUCCUGAAAGCUAGCUAGGUCCUCUGGGCUAAACACGACCGCCCCACAGCUCUAGAAAUGGCUGAUUUUCGUUAUGCCCUUUCCAACCAGAUUAUUUCUUAAAUUGCUCUCCCCCGGCUGGGUGUUCUGGGACACAAACGCUAGUGUGUGGGAUCCCCGGCUUUCCUUUCUGCCUGAGCAGCUGGGGGAGAGCCUCAGUUUCUCCUGGCCUGCGGGCAGCAGCCGACCCAGCCUAGGGAAUGAGCCUCGUGUACUCUCGGGGGCCCAGGACCGCGGGGCCGCGCCGAGGACCCUCUGAAAGGCAGACCACCACGAGGCAGCGUGAGGACCACACUGCCGCGCCCCGGAGCCCGCCGCCGCCUGUCCCCGCGUCUGAGGUCCACAGGAAGAGCGGCGGCAACGCGCGCCCCGGAGGAGGCUUUGUGAACCCAGGCUCGGCGCGCCCCCCGCGCGCGCCCCUCACAGGCAGCCGGGGCCAGCCUGCCGCCGGGGCCCCUCUGGGAAGGGCUCGGAGGCGACGCGGGGAGGGGGCCAGGGGAGGAGGGAGCGUUCCUGCAAAUCACAUGAUUUUCCCGCUUAUAUAAAUCACAGCUUGUUUUUCUCAACCGGGUGCAGACUUAAA